This 358-nucleotide ribosomal RNA is filed under the name uncultured bacterium. Its description in RNAcentral is "bacterial SSU rRNA". It matches the Rfam family "Bacterial small subunit ribosomal RNA", at positions 1158 to 1512 of the family's 1533-position model. The record is from RNAcentral.
AUAACUCGGAGGAAGGUGGGGAAGACGUCGAAUCAUCAUGCCCCUUAUGUCUUGGGCUACACACGUGCUACAAUGGCCGGUACAGAGGGCUGCAAACCCGUGAGGGGGAGCGAAUCCCAAAAAGCCGGUCCCAGUUCGGAUCGUGGGCUGCAACCCGCCCACGUGAAGCCGGAGUUGCUAGUAAUCGCGAAUCAGCAUGUCGCGGUGAAUGCGUUCCCGGGUGUUGUACACACCGCCCGUCACACCAUGGGAGUUGGGAGCGCCCGAAGCCAGUGGGCUAACCAGUAAUGGAGGCAGCUGUCGAAGGCGAGAUCAAUGACUGGGGUGAAGUCGUAACAAGGUAGCCGUAUCGGAAAGG